This 1319-nucleotide ribosomal RNA is filed under the name uncultured bacterium. RNAcentral describes it as "bacterial SSU rRNA". It matches the Rfam family "Bacterial small subunit ribosomal RNA", at positions 27 to 1381 of the family's 1533-position model. The record is from RNAcentral.
GGACGAACGCUGGCGGCGUGCUUAACACAUGCAAGUCGAACGGGAGUAUUGAAGAAGCUUGCUUUAGAGAUACUUUAGUGGCGGACGGGUGAGUAACGCGUGAGGAGCUGUCCUAUGCAGGGGGACAACAGCUGGAAACGGCUGCUAAUACCCCAUAAGCCGAGAGGUAAAAGGAUCAAUCCGGCAGAGGAGGUACUCGCGUCCUAUCAGCUAGUAGGUGAGGUAACGGCUCACCUAGGCGAAGACGGGUAGCCGGCCUGAGAGGGCGAACGGCCACACUGGAACUGAGAUACGGUCCAGACUCCUACGGGAGGCAGCAGUGGGGAAUAUUGGGCAAUGGGGAAACCCUGACCCAGCGACGCCGCGUGGGUGAAGAAAUCCUUCGGGAUGUAAAGCCCUGUUGUAUGGGAAGAGCGGAAGACGGUACCAUACGAGGAAGCCCCGGCAAACUACGUGCCAGCAGCCGCGGUAAUACGUAGGAGGCAAGCGUUAUCCGGAUUUACUGGGCGUAAAGCGCGUGUAGGUGGUUUGGUAAGUAGGGCGUGAAAGCUCCUGGCUCAACUGGGAGAGGACGUUCUAAACUGCCAAGCUUGAGGAUGGUAGAGGGAGGUGGAAUUCCGGGUGUAGCGGUGGAAUGCGCAGAUAUCCGGAGGAACACCAGUGGCGAAGGCGGCNNNNNUGGACCACUCCUGACACUCAGACGCGAAAGCUAGGGUAGCAAACGGGAUUAGAGACCCCGGUAGUCCUAGCCCUAAACGAUGUAGACUUGGCGUCGGUGGUUUAAUCGCCAUCGGUGUCGUAGCUAACGCGUUAAGUCUACCGCCUGGGGACUACGGCCGCAAGGUUAAAACUCAAGGGAAUUGACGGGUCCCCGCACAAGCAGCGGAGCGUGUGGUUUAAUUCGAUGCUACACGAAGAACCUUACCUGGGUUUGACAUAGAGGUAGUAGGGAAGCGAAAGCGGACCGACCCUUCGGGGAGCCUCUACAGGUGUUGCAUGGCUGUCGUCAGCUCGUGUCGUGAGAUGUUCGGUUAAGUCCGCUAACGAGCGCAACCCUCGCUGUGUGUUACAAGUGUCACACGGUACUGCCGAUAUUAAGUCGGAGGAAGGUGGGGAUGACGUCAAGUCAGCAUGACCUUUAUAUCCAGGGCUACACACACGCUACAAUGGCCAGUACAAUGGGUUGCCAAGCCGCGAGGCGGAGCCAAUCCUAAAAAGCUGGCCUCAGUUCAGAUUGCAGUCUGCAACUCGACUGCAUGAAGUUGGAGUUGCUAGUAACCGCAGGUCAGCAAUACUGCGGUGAAUACGUUCCCGGGGAU